AUUGAACGCUGGCGGCAGGCUUAACACAUGCAAGUCGAGCGGAGAGAGGUAGCUUGCUACUGAUCUUAGCGGCGGACGGGUGAGUAAUGCUUAGGAAUCUGCCUAUUAGUGGGGGACAACAUUUCGAAGGGAAUGCUAAUACCGCAUACGUCCUACGGGAGAAAGCAGGGGAUCUUCGGACCUUGCGCUAAUAGAUGAGCCUAAGUCGGAUUAGCUAGUUGGUGGGGUAAAGGCCUACCAAGGCGACGAUCUGUAGCGGGUCUGAGAGGAUGAUCCGCCACACUGGGACUGAGACACGGCCCAGACUCCUACGGGAGGCAGCAGUGGAGAAUAUUGGACAAUGGGCGCAAGCCUGAUCCAGCCAUGCCGCGUGUGUGAAGAAGGCCUUAUGGUUGUAAAGCACUUUAAGCGAGGAGGAGGCUACUUUAGCUAAUACCUAGAGAUAGUGGACGUUACUCGCAGAAUAAGCACCGGCUAACUCUGUGCCAGCCGCCGCGGUAA
Molecule: ribosomal RNA, 501 nt
Filed under: uncultured bacterium
Lineage: Bacteria
Description: partial 16S ribosomal RNA
Rfam family: Bacterial small subunit ribosomal RNA
Source: RNAcentral